This 375-nucleotide unclassified non-coding RNA is filed under the name Hevea brasiliensis (rubber tree). The record is from RNAcentral. Lineage: Eukaryota; Viridiplantae; Streptophyta; Magnoliopsida; Malpighiales; Euphorbiaceae.
ACUCUAUAAAGAAAAAAGGUGAGGAAAAGUAAUAAAGAAAAAAAAAAUCAUUCUACAUAAACCAGCUGGAACCACUCUCUCUCAAACACACACACUUGUAUUACUCGUCUUACUCAUGAGCACAUGCAUUGCGGUGUGGGGACAGCCUGGCAGGGCGGUGAUUGUGGAGAAGUGAAGCUCCAUUACGCAAAGAAUAUGUUAAGCCCAAGGAUUCUGGUGGCUUAACCAAGGUGUUUGGGCAGUGAGAAAGAAAGGGAAAAUGAGGGAAAUUCUUUUAUUCCUCUCUACAAUGACUCAAGUACCGAAGAAGAAACUUGAAUUCUCGUAUUCCUCUCUACAAUGACUCAAGUACCGAAGAAGAAACUUGAAUUCUCG